ACGGGUGAGUAACACGUAGGCAACCUGCCCUCAAGUUUGGGACAACUACCGGAAACGGUAGCUAAUACCGAAUAGUUGUUUUCUUCGCCUGAAGGAAACUGGAAAGACGGAGCAAUCUGUCACCUGGGGAUGGGCCUGCGGCGCAUUAGCUAGUUGGUGGGGUAACGGCUCACCAAGGCGACGAUGCGUAGCCGACCUGAGAGGGUGAUCGGCCACACUGGGACUGAGACACGGCCCAGACUCCUACGGGAGGCAGCAGUAGGGAAUCUUCCGCAAUGGGCGAAAGCCUGACGGAGCAAUGCCGCGUGAGUGAUGAAGGUUUUCGGAUCGUAAAGCUCUGUUGCCAGGGAAGAACGCUUGGGAGAGUAACUGCUCUCAAGGUGACGGUACCUGAGAAGAAAGCCCCGGCUAACUACGUGCCAGCAGCCGCGGUAAUACGUAGGGGGCAAGCGUUGUCCGGAAUUAUUGGGCGUAAAGCGCGCGCAGGCGGUCAUUUAAGUCUGGUGUUUAAUCCCGGGGCUCAACCCCGGAUCGCACUGGAAACUGGGUGACUUGAGUGCAGAAGAGGAGAGUGGAA
Molecule: ribosomal RNA, 577 nt
Filed under: uncultured bacterium
Lineage: Bacteria
Description: bacterial SSU rRNA
Rfam family: Bacterial small subunit ribosomal RNA
Source: RNAcentral